RNAcentral lists this long non-coding RNA (403 nucleotides) under Daucus carota (carrot). RNAcentral describes it as "long non-coding RNA (DCAR_LNC004961)". The record is from RNAcentral. Lineage: Eukaryota; Viridiplantae; Streptophyta; Magnoliopsida; Apiales; Apiaceae.
UGAGUCCCUUCCUUCUGAUACAUCCAUUUGAACAGAACUAUGCGCACCUUUAUCACCUUGUGGGAGCAGAACUGAAUGCGAUUAAUCUUCAUGUUCCAAGAUUACGUUGUCAGAGGAAGCAUCACCGUCAAUACUACUCUUGUAUUCUAUUCCUCAAUACUUGGUGAUUACAAAGACUUUUGAAGGAUGUUGUGAUGUUUUCCACGUAUCAAGACUAUGGUUGCAGAAUAAUCGGAUGGUUUAUGAUAAUAGUCUGAAGUGGCAUAUAUGUAUAUAUCUUGUUCAGUGCGUGAAUGUGUUCUGGUGAAAAGUAUGGUUUUCGGCAACAUAUUCAGAAGAUUAAUGUGCCUGUAGAUGACCCAAACAGUCUACGGCUGUCAAAAGGUUUCCAGAUUCAUGUUUC